AGUGAACGCUGGCGGUAGGCCUAACACAUGCAAGUCGAACGGCGGCACAGUAAGAGCUUGCUCUUACGGGUGGCGAGUGGCGGACGGGUGAGGAAUACAUCGGAAUCUACUUUUUCGUGGGGGAUAACGUAGGGAAACUUACGCUAAUACCGCAUACGACCUACGGGUGAAAGCAGGGGAUCUUCGGACCUUGCGCGAUUGAAUGAGCCGAUGUCGGAUUAGCUAGUUGGCGGGGUAAAGGCCCACCAAGGCGACGAUCCGUAGCUGGUCUGAGAGGAUGAUCAGCCACACUGGAACUGAGACACGGUCCAGACUCCUACGGGAGGCAGCAGUGGGGAAUGUUGGACAAUGGGCGCAAACCUGAUCCAGCCAUACCGCGUGGGUGAAGAAGGCCUUCGGGUUGUAAAGCCCUUUUGUUGGGAAAGAAAAGCAGCAGGUUAAUACCCCGCUGUUCUGACGGUACCCAAAGAAUAAGCACCGGCUAACUUCGUG
This 492-nucleotide ribosomal RNA is filed under the name uncultured bacterium. RNAcentral's name for it is "partial 16S ribosomal RNA". It matches the Rfam family "Bacterial small subunit ribosomal RNA", at positions 29 to 507 of the family's 1533-position model. The record is from RNAcentral.